GACGAACGCUGGCGGCGUGCUUAACACAUGCAAGUCGAACGGAAAGGCCCUGCUUGCAGGGUACUCGAGUGGCGAACGGGUGAGUAACACGUGGGUGAUCUGCCCUGCACUUCGGGAUAAGCCUGGGAAACUGGGUCUAAUACCGGAUAGGAGCCAUUUUUAGUGUGAUGGUUGGAAAGUUUUUUCGGUGUAGGAUGAGCUCGCGGCCUAUCAGCUUGUUGGUGGGGUAAUGGCCUACCAAGGCGGCGACGGGUAGCCGGCCUGAGAGGGUGGACGGCCACAUUGGGACUGAGAUACGGCCCAGACUCCGACGGGAGGCAGAAGUGGGGAAGAUUGCACAAUGGGCGCAAGCCUGAUGCAGCGACGCCGCGUGGGGGAUGACGGCCUUCGGGUUGUAAAAUCCUUUCGCUAGGGACGAAGCUUUUUGUGACGGUACCUAGAGAAGAAGCACCGGCUAACUACGUG
Molecule: ribosomal RNA, 465 nt
Filed under: uncultured bacterium
Lineage: Bacteria
Description: partial 16S ribosomal RNA
Rfam family: Bacterial small subunit ribosomal RNA
Source: RNAcentral